AUUGGAGCAUGUCUUAAACUCCACCCUUUUAUCUCAAUUGUCAAGCGUAGAAAAAUACACAAGACAAAGUAGUCCUUACUUUGUAUUAUGCUUUAAAGACAAAUAGAUCAGAAAAGAAGAAGAGAUUCUGAAAGAGGAAGAGAAGAUGAAACAGUAGGCGAAAGGUAAGUUUGAGGCGACAGAGCCACUUUAAUUAAGCAUGUAUAUUUUGCCUGAUGUUAUUGUGCAUAGACACAAGUAACACCAGAAUAAGAAGAAAAUAUAAAACAUUAUUUUGUGAUUGGUUAAAGAGCUG
Pelobates cultripes (western spadefoot toad) is the source of this 295-nucleotide non-coding RNA. The record is from the annotation of a GenBank genome assembly. NCBI's taxonomy places the organism in Eukaryota, Metazoa, Chordata, Amphibia, Anura, Pelobatidae.